CAGUAGCCGCGGUAAUACGUAGGGUGCGAGCGUUAAUUGGAAUUACUGGGCGUAAAGCGUGCGCAGGCGGUUAUAUAAGACAGAUGUGAAAUCCCCGGGCUCAACCUGGGACCUGCAUUUGUGACUGUAUAGCUAGAGUACGGUAGAGGGGGAUGGAAUUCCGCGUGUAGCAGUGAAAUGCGUAGAUAUGCGGAGGAACACCGAUGGCGAAGGCAAUCCCCUGGACCUGUACUGACGCUCAUGCACGAAAGCGUGGGGAGCAAACAGGAUUAGAUACCCCCGUAGUCCCUGUCUCUUAUAC
RNAcentral lists this ribosomal RNA (301 nucleotides) under uncultured bacterium. Its description in RNAcentral is "partial 16S ribosomal RNA". It matches the Rfam family "Bacterial small subunit ribosomal RNA", at positions 509 to 807 of the family's 1533-position model. The record is from RNAcentral.